Molecule: long non-coding RNA, 1069 nt
Filed under: Pogona vitticeps (central bearded dragon)
Lineage: Eukaryota; Metazoa; Chordata; Lepidosauria; Squamata; Agamidae
Description: lncRNA (ENSPVIG00000020228.1)
Source: RNAcentral
UGGGAGGGGUCAUCCGGGGGUGUGGAGCUCGAUGUCAUCAGUAUGCUGAUGAUACUCAGCUCUACAUCUCCUUUCCACCUACUGCAGGAGAUGCCCUUCUGUCCCUUCAGUGCUGCCUGGCGACUGUACUGAAAUGGAUGCAGGAGAACGGGCUGAGGCUGAACCCGGACAAGACGGAGGUGCUGAGGGUGGGUGUCCCCACAGUCGAGGGUUUGGGAAACUCCCUCUCUUUUGGGGGGGUGACCCUCCCUGCCAAGGAUGGGGUCUGCAGUUUGGGGAUCCAUCUGGACCCGGCGCUCACUAUGGAAUCCCAGGUGGCGUCCGUGGUCCGAUCUGCCUUUUACCACCUUAGGCGGAUAGCCCAGCUGCGGCCCUAUCUCAACGUGGGGGCCCUCACUACCUUGGUACAUGUGCUCGUAAUCUCAAGAUUAGACCACUGUAAUGCGCUCUACGUGGGGCUGCCUUUGAGGCUGCUGUGGAAACUACAGGUGGUGCAGAAUGCUGUGGCCAGACUUCUCAGUGGUGUGAAAAAAAUCCAACAUAUUUCGCCCACUCUGGCUGCACUGCAUUGGCUGCCCAUCCGAUUCCAUAUCAACUUCAAAGUGUUGAUGCUUACGUACAAAGCCCUAAACGGCUUAGGGCCUCGAUACUUGGCGGAACGCCUACUUCCACCAAGUUCUACCCGUGACACUCGCGCGAGUCGGGAGGUGAGGCUGAGGAGCCUAACGCCGAGGGAGGCCCAGAAGGAAAAGACAAGAAAUCGGGCCUUCUCGGCGGUGACUCCUCGCCUCUGGAAUAACCUUCCCCCUGACAUCCGUGCGGCUCCCUCGCUGGGUAUUUUUAAAAAUCAGUUAAAAACACUGAUGUUUCGGCAGGCCUUCCCCUCAGCCAAUUCCUGAUCUUUCCUCUUUUUCUCUCCCCUCGUUUUUGUCUCAUCUUGUCUAAGUUCUUUCCUUUAUUUAAAAUUGUUUUAAUCAUAUUGUAAUUACGUUUGUUGUAAGCCGCCUAGAGUGGUCUUAAGUGGCUAGAUAGGUGGAAUAUAAACAAACAAACAAACAAACAAACAAGA